This 75-nucleotide transfer RNA is filed under the name Caudoviricetes sp. Its description in RNAcentral is "tRNA-Met". It matches the Rfam family "tRNA". Rfam says of the family: Transfer RNA (tRNA) molecules are approximately 80 nucleotides in length. Their secondary structure includes four short double-helical elements and three loops (D, anti-codon, and T loops). Further hydrogen bonds mediate the characteristic L-shaped molecular structure. tRNAs have two regions of fundamental functional importance: the anti-codon, which is responsible for specific mRNA codon recognition, and the 3' end, to which the tRNAs corresponding amino acid is attached (by aminoacyl-tRNA synthetases). tRNAs cope with the degeneracy of the genetic code in two manners: having more than one tRNA (with a specific anti-codon) for a particular amino acid; and 'wobble' base-pairing, i.e. permitting non-standard base-pairing at the 3rd anti-codon position. The record is from RNAcentral. Lineage: Duplodnaviria; Heunggongvirae; Uroviricota; Caudoviricetes.
CAGAGUGGAGCAGUCUGGUAGCUCGUCGGGUUCAUAACCCGAAGGUCGGUGGUUCAAAUCCAUCCUCUGUAUCCA